Long non-coding RNA from Oenanthe melanoleuca, 407 nucleotides. RefSeq lists it as uncharacterized. The record is from RefSeq and is a predicted model, not a curated record. The transcript has 3 exons. Lineage: Eukaryota; Metazoa; Chordata; Aves; Passeriformes; Muscicapidae.
GGAAAAGCGGGCGGGAAAGGGUUAAUGGGGUCAUGGAGGGGUCAGUGGGGUCAUGGAAGGGUCAGUGGGGUCAUGGAAGGGUCAACAAAGUCUUCCAUUGGUCAAUGGGAUCAUGGAUUGGCCAAUGGAAGGGUAAAUGAAGCCAUGGAAGGGUCAAUGGGGUCAUGGAAGGGUCAAUGGGGUCAUGGAAGGGUUAACGGGGUCAUGGAAGGGUCACUGAGGUCAUGGAAGGGUCAUUGGGGUCAUGGAAGGGUCAGUGGGGUCAUGGAAGGGUCAAAGGGGUCAUGGAAGGGUCAAUGGGGUCAUGGAAGGGUCAAUGGGGUCAUGGAAGGGUUAACGGGGUCAUGGAUUGGUCAAUGGGGUCAUGGAAGGGUCAUUGAGGUCAUGGAAGGGUCAUUGAGGUCAUG